Molecule: long non-coding RNA, 534 nt
Organism: Venturia canescens
Lineage: Eukaryota; Metazoa; Arthropoda; Insecta; Hymenoptera; Ichneumonidae
Exons: 3
Source: RefSeq, a predicted model, not a curated record
AAUCAAACGUACAAUAGUAACCUUUGUACGGACGGUAUAAAAGUCGAUGAUUUUCGAUAUGAGCACAUAGAUCGAAAGACGAAGCAGAAGUUAGAACUGAUAUUGAAUUUUUACUCGAGUUAUCGAUAACCAUGAAGGGAUUUGGUAUCUUCGCCUUUUUGCUGCUUGUCCUCGGACUCGUUGGAGUUUAUUCUCAACCAUCGAACGAUCGUUUGGUCCGUGAAGCGAAACCUGACGCAUCAUCCCCCCCUCAUGCGCCGUGUCGCCCGUACUGCCAAGUGAACUCAACGGCGUCAAGCUAGGCCCGGAGCCUGCGCGCGAAUUUUCUGCAAACACUGAGAAACCGGCGAUGAUAAUAAUUAACUCUACCAGCUUCGACAGCCUCAAUUGACAUUCAUCGAUCGGAUCUCCGCCCCGUUUCCUCUACACAUCAGGAACAAAAAAGAGGCGCCAUCAUGUCUCAGGCAAUGGCAAGAGAGCGGAGUUUCCGUAUCGAAAAGUAGAUCCACCUGCGUCACCUGAUCAAUCUCAUUG